GAUGUAGUAUUUUAUUUUUAAACUUUCAUUAUUCACAUGUGUAUGCUUUAAUAUUUUAUUUUAUUUUUAUCCAUUAGCUAGUUUCAUGUGCACACUAUCUUCUUUAUGUUAUCAAACCUUGUUUUGUAUCCAAAGGCUUAGAUUAAUGUUUGCUUGUCCAUGAUUCUGAAAAUAGUUCUCAUGCUUGUAGAUUAACCGAGUUGAGUACCUGCAUUCAAGGGCC
This 223-nucleotide long non-coding RNA is filed under the name Elaeis guineensis (African oil palm). RNAcentral's name for it is "long non-coding RNA (EGUI_LNC037998)". The record is from RNAcentral. Lineage: Eukaryota; Viridiplantae; Streptophyta; Magnoliopsida; Arecales; Arecaceae.